GACGAACGCUGGCGGCGUGCUUAACACAUGCAAGUCGAACGGAAAGGCCCUGCUUUUGUGGGGUGCUCGAGUGGCGAACGGGUGAGUAACACGUGAGUAACCUGCCCUUGACUUUGGGAUAACUUCAGGAAACUGGGGCUAAUACCGGAUAGGAGCUCCUGCUGCAUGGUGGGGGUUGGAAAGUUUCGGCGGUUGGGGAUGGACUCGCGGCUUAUCAGCUUGUUGGUGGGGUAGUGGCUUACCAAGGCUUUGACGGGCAGCCGGCCUGAGAGGGUGGCCGGCCACAUUGGGACUGAGAUACGGCCCAGACUCCUACGGGAGGCAGCAGUGGGGAAUAUUGCACAAUGGGCGGAAGCCUGAUGCAGCAACGCCGCGUGCGGGAUGACGGCCUUCGGGUUGUAAACCGCUUUCGCCUGUGACGAAGCGUGAGUGACGGUAAUGGGUAAAGAAGCACCGGCUAACUACGUG
Molecule: ribosomal RNA, 468 nt
Filed under: uncultured bacterium
Lineage: Bacteria
Description: partial 16S ribosomal RNA
Rfam family: Bacterial small subunit ribosomal RNA
Source: RNAcentral